This 499-nucleotide ribosomal RNA is filed under the name uncultured bacterium. RNAcentral describes it as "partial 16S ribosomal RNA". It matches the Rfam family "Bacterial small subunit ribosomal RNA", at positions 28 to 507 of the family's 1533-position model. The record is from RNAcentral.
GACGAACGCUGGCGGCGUGCUUAACACAUGCAAGUCGAACGGGCCCGCUCUCUUUUUUGGGGGUGGGUUGAGUGGCGAACGGGUGAGUAUCACGUGAGUAACCUGCCCCCUGCUCCUGGAUAACUGCUUGAAAGGGCGGCUAAUACGGGGUGUGCCGGCUGGUCCGCAUGGGCCUGGUCGGGAUAGUUUCAUCUUCGGGUGUUUCGGUGGGGGAUGGGCUCGCGGCCUAUCAGCUUGUUGGUGGGGUGAUGGCCCACCAAGGCGGUGACGGGUAGCCGGCCUGAGAGGGUGGGCGGCCACACUGGGAAUGAGACACGGCCCAGACUCCUGCGGGAGGCAGCAGUGGGGGGUAUUGCGCAAUGGGCGGAAGCCUGAUGCAGCGACGUCGCGUGAGGGAUGGAGGCCGUCGGGUGGUGAACCUCUUUCUCCGGUGGUGAAGGCCCUGUCCGUUGCGGCGGGGUUGACGGUAGCCGGGUAUGAAGCGCCGGCUAACUACGUG